Molecule: long non-coding RNA, 3309 nt
Organism: Magallana angulata
Lineage: Eukaryota; Metazoa; Mollusca; Bivalvia; Ostreida; Ostreidae
Exons: 5
Source: RefSeq, a predicted model, not a curated record
CGGAUAACUGGUGUAUACUUAUUCCUUAUGUAUCUAAUGAUUUGCACAAAAUGCAGGUUGGAGGAAGUUCCAUAUAUUUACUACCAACUUUAAGGGGACCAAAGUAAAUGGUCAUUUCCAAGGAUUAGUGUCAGUGAUGAAAGGACAUUCCGAUCUUAAUAUAUGUCCCGGUCGAAUGAAGUCAGAACUCUACUGAUAGCCAAGGAGUUACCUUGUCGCUAUUUCUCAACAGUAUUCCUGAGACAAUUUCCACCAGAGAUUGGUUUCGCCUUUUUGUAUUACUGGACUUGAUAUCAUCAAUAAUUGUGUUAUUAUGUAAAAAUUAUAAACACUAUUCUGAUGUUCUGUAUUGUGUUACAGAACUCAUUUGGUGCCGUAACCAAGGAUAAGCUAGUCAGACGAACGGGAACACUAAAGUCGCCGAGGAACAGUUCUCUACGUACUCUCUCUCUGUUAACAAUUCAUGGAAAAGAUAAGUCAUUUAGGAGAUGCAUGAGUCAUGAACCACAUCCGCAGUGUCUAUUUCAAUAAGACUGUUGUACUGCCUCAAGCGAUCGAGCUAGGUCACCUUACGAUGGAUUGGUCUUGCAUGGUCCAAGCGCAUACCGGUCUUGUUGGCAAUGAGAAAUGACAAAGACAAAGUGCCGUGAGGAGCGGUAUGUACAGCUGAGUGACUUAGUGCAGCGAGGUGGUAUUCUUCGGUGCAGCUGCACCCGACUAGAACUUUAGCAUAAUGGACAGACCGAUCGUCAUUGUACUCUGGAUUAGUGUAGGCUUAACCAGACGGUUCCGAUACCUUACUGAUCGCAAGAAGAGGUCAUAGAUGAAAUGGCAUAUCGAUAGGCAUCCUGGGGUGGACGCAUCCACUGUUAACUGGCCGAGACUGACCGGGAACCAUCACUAGCAUUUUCUAUGUCAUCGUAAUGACAACCGUUAACAGCUUUUAGAAGAAAUUUUAGAUGAGCGGUUCAACAAUUAAUUCCCAGCAGGCAUACAACGUUGUACCAACGUUGAAAGUACGUUGAUUAUGGUUGACGACAUUGAACAACCAGAAACAACGUUACAGGACGUUGAAAAAAAGACGUUGAAAACCAAACCAAUUUUCAACGGUAGUAUGACGUCUUGUACUCUGAGAUAUAUCGACUAAGACAUAACAUAAAAAAAUUAUCUGAUUGUAUUGUUUUGUAAUAAAUAUAUGCAUUUUCCCAGAUCAAGACUGAACAAUAAUAGGCCUUUGUACUUCCAAUUCUUUAAAGUGGGUCGCGGGUUUACCCUAUAAAAAAUCUUACGAGAAAACAUACCCUGAAAAUUUAAAUCGUUAUUUAGGAUACACAGUUCAUUAUAUAAAUUUUUUAUCGAAUUUGCCCACGCUAUUUGUAUGCAAUACCGCUCUAAACUUAGUAUUGUCUGUAGUGCUGUUUUGACGCUUUUCUAAUGAAAUAUAUAGGAAAAUGAGCAUAUUUCUCUUUAUAUUCGAGAUGGAGUUUUUUUUUAAAACUGCAAAUAGCUUCUUAACAAUUUAGACGAAUUUAUCAACGGUGUCUAUGUGUAAAGAAAACGUGAUUUACAAAUUAUUUAUGUAAAAAAAAUUAUAUGUGUUCUCGCUAGAUUUUUUGCUAUUUUAUUUUAUGUUUCUGAUUAUUCUACCAAAAAUUGUCGCAUUUCGGUAUUUGACGUCAUGAUUACGACGUCAAAAAUGUUAAACCUGUUCCACUUACUAAGUGAUGCAAUUAUUUAAAAACUAAACCCAGGACUGCUAACGAUUUGACAGAUUUAAGGUUCUAAGGAUGAUGCAGAUUCUUUUUACAUAAAUAUUGUCCACAAAAUUACAGAAAAGAGACAAUAUUUUACGUACAGCCAUACAUAGCCAUGUUCGUACACAUAACUCUGUAACAGUAAAAGUGACAAUUUUCCUAGUGAUUAGACCACCUACCAUAAUAAACUUGCUAAAGCAUAUAUCUUUCUUUAAAAAAUGGACUUUUUGAGAAUAUGACAGAGCUCGAGAUUAAACAUAUUUUUAUCAAGAAUCCAAAACUAUUAGGGGGGCAGCCUCUCGUGUACACUGUACCUCCGGUAUACAGGAAGAACCCCCGGUCUUAUGUACAGGAAGAGAUCUGUUCUGUUGAUAUUAAAAAAUUAUUAACCAGAAUCUCUCUCUCUCUCUCUCUCUCUCUCUCUCUCUCUCUCUCUCUCUCUCUCUCUCUCUCAUGUGUUAAAAGUUAUAGACUACACCGCUGGUUUUUAUUUACAGUUUGAACUUUUACAUAGACUGAAAAAGAACGCUCCAAUUCUUGCUGAUUAUCUGCAUAAUUAUAAUGUGUUGCAUUCAAUGUGCACUUCCUUUUUUGAUUCGCGGAGAAUAAAUAUGAAUGAUUACUACUGUCUAGUAUGAACGGCAUAUAUAUAAAUGAUAACUUCAUUAUCACCCCGAGCAAUUGGUUUUAGAGCGUAAUGCGGGAAACUUGAGAUGUAUCGUUUAUGACGUCAUAAACGAAUGUGCACAAAACGGCCAAACAAGUUGUCUAAAUUGCGUACAGAAUUUGAUGACGAAAGCAAACCCGCGACCCACCUUAAAACAAUGCCAUUUUUAUAACAUACAUAAAGAUAUAUAAACCAAUAGACCUAGAGUAAAUUUACAAAUAUAAAAUGCAUACUAAACCAGUAAAUUCAGGGUGCGUUAGCCAUUAGUGUAUUACCUCGCCCCAAUCUGAACUGUUUGAAACGAGCUGACCAAUUAGUAUCAAAUUACUGGUGCAAACUCAAACAAAGAGAUAGAGUCCAGCUGUGGGGAAGGAGAGCGCAUUUUGAAUUUGAAAGUGUGAAGCAACACAUCGGCCAUUGAGGCAAAAUGAUUUGGAUUUUAUCAUCGCAAAAGUGAAGUAAGUUGUCAUUUCUUGAACUUUUUAAUAACAUUGAUUCAUGUAAAAAAAAAUGUGAAGGAAACUCAUGCAUUAUUGAAUUAUUGAAAUUGAUCACAUGUAUGUAUAUGUGUUUCUUGCAUACUUGCUUGGUUGUAAUAUAAUGUUUUGAUUUUAAUAUAAAACACCCGACAUUUGGACUGAUGAAAGGAGUUAACAUUAACUGAUUGAGUGCACACAUGUUGUUCGACAUCGUGUACAUGUAUCGAAGCAAAAUUGGGAGUCCCAUUAUUAUAUCUCAGGAAACUCGAUUGAAGAGACGGAAGGAAGAACAAUGAAUUAUUGUUUAGAAGAAAUGACGACUCUGUGAUUCGAACAAACUAUUGAUAUGUGUAUCAUCUGUUUUAUGGUGGUGAACGUGUUGCUCCUUAUUGACUAAUAAGGAACUAUU